RNAcentral lists this ribosomal RNA (1159 nucleotides) under uncultured bacterium. RNAcentral's name for it is "bacterial SSU rRNA". It matches the Rfam family "Bacterial small subunit ribosomal RNA", at positions 41 to 1184 of the family's 1533-position model. The record is from RNAcentral.
GGGGGGCCGGCUACCAUGCAGUCGAGCGGUAACAGAGAAUAGCUUGCUAUUCUGCUGACGAGCGGCGGACGGGUGAGUAACGCGUAGGAAUCUGCCCGGUAGCGGGGGAUAGCCCAGAGAAAUUUGGAUUAAUACCGCAUACGCCCUACGGGGGAAAGGAGGGGAUCUUCGGACCUUCCACUAUCGGAUGAGCCUGCGUGAGAUUAGCUAGUUGGUGGGGUAAAGGCCUACCAAGGCGACGAUCUCUAGCUGGUCUGAGAGGAUGAUCAGCCACACCGGAACUGAGACACGGUCCGGACUCCUACGGGAGGCAGCAGUGGGGAAUAUUGCACAAUGGGCGAAAGCCUGAUGCAGCCAUGCCGCGUGUGUGAAGAAGGCCUUAGGGUUGUAAAGCACUUUCAGCGAGGAGGAAAGGUUGGUCACUAAUAUCUCCUAGCUGUGACGUUACUCGCAGAAGAAGCACCGGCUAACUCCGUGCCAGCAGCCGCGGUAAUACGGAGGGUGCAAGCGUUAAUCGGAAUUACUGGGCGUAAAGCGCGCGUAGGCGGCUUGUUAAGCCAGAUGUGAAAGCCCCGGGCUUAACCUGGGAACUGCAUUUGGAACUGGCAGGCUAGAGUACAGAAGAGGGUGGUAGAAUUUCCUGUGUAGCGGUGAAAUGCGUAGAUAUAGGAAGGAAUACCAGUGGCGAAGGCGGCCACCUGGUCUGAUACUGACGCUGAGGUGCGAAAGCGUGGGGAGCAAACAGGAUUAGAUACCCUGGUAGUCCACGCCGUAAACGAUGUCUACUAGCCGUUGGGAACCUUGAGUUCUUAGUGGCGCAGCUAACGCGAUAAGUAGACCGCCUGGGGAGUACGGUCGCAAGAUUAAAACUCAAAUGAAUUGACGGGGGCCCGCACAAGCGGUGGAGCAUGUGGUCUAAUUCGAAGCAACGCGAAGAACCUUACCUACUCUUGACAUCCAGAGAACUUUCCAGAGAUGGAUUGGUGCCUUCGGGAACUCUGAGACAGGUGCUGCAUGGCUGUCGUCAGCUCGUGUUGUGAAAUGUUGGGGUUAAGUCCCGUACGAGCCGCAACCCCUAUCCCUAUUUGCUAGCAGUUCGGCUGAAAACUCUAGGGAGACUGCCGGUUGAACAAACCGGGAGGAAGGGUGGGGGACGACG